This is a long non-coding RNA of Vidua chalybeata, 634 nucleotides long. RefSeq lists it as uncharacterized. The transcript has 2 exons. NCBI's taxonomy places the organism in Eukaryota, Metazoa, Chordata, Aves, Passeriformes, Viduidae. The record is from RefSeq and is a predicted model, not a curated record.
UGCCCCAGGGUUGUGACACAGUCCCUGCCCAGCUGAUCUCACAGCCUGGGGCAUGAAGGGAUGGAGAGCAGCCCGGCCGAGAAGGACUUGGGGCUGCUGCUAGAUGAGAGGCUGGACAUGAGCCAGCCUUGUGCAUGCAAAGGAGAGUGCCUGGCAGGUUGAAGGAGGUGAUUCCACCUCUUUGCUCUGGUGAGACUCCACCUGGAGUACUGUGGAAGAUGUUUUAUAUUGCUGGCCGGGGCUCUAUGUACAAAUCACCAACGGGACGGGACUGCUGAGGAACGCGUCUCGAGCUGUUUCUUUUCCAGCAUCAGUCUCAUUCCAUGGUUAUGACAAUGGGCAGAUGCCAGCAGCUCACAUCCCCGGCAGCAGGCAAAGAACUUAAUGCGACUUCUGUGAGCAAGCCGGAGAGAAGUUUGGUAAGAGGAUCCAUGUUUACCCCUGAAAGAAUUUUCUACCAAGGUCGUUGGAAUAGAAACCAAGAAAGCAAGAAGUAUAAAUAAGAGAAACCCACAACUGCCUAUUCCAAUCAGCACUUGGCUUGUCUCUCGUGACCAAUGAGUCAAGUGUAAACUUAGGAGCUUUGUAAGAAUGUAGAAAAAGCAUGCAUGCUAGAAUAAAAUCAGGGUUUGAA